AGUGAACGCUGGCGGUAGGCCUAACACAUGCAAGUCGAACGGCAGCACAGUAAGAGCUUGCUCUUACGGGUGGCGAGUGGCGGACGGGUGAGGAAUACAUCGGAAUCUACUUUUUCGUGGGGGAUAACGUAGGGAAACUUACGCUAAUACCGCAUACGACCUACGGGUGAAAGCAGUGGAUCUUCGGACCUUGCGCGAUUGAAUGAGCCGAUGUCGGAUUAGCUAGUUGGCGGGGUAAAGGCCCACCAAGGCGACGAUCCGUAGCUGGUCUGAGAGGAUGAUCGGCCACACUGGAACUGAGACACGGUCCAGACUCCUACGAGAGGCAGCAGUGGGGAAUAUUGGACAGUGGGCGCAAGCCUGAUCCAGCCAUACCGCGUGGGUGAAGAAGGCCUUCGGGUUGUAAAGCCCUUUUGUUGGGAAAGAAAAGCAGCAGGUUAAUACCCCGCUGUUCUGACGGUACCCAAAGAAUAAGCACCGGCUAACUUCGUG
Molecule: ribosomal RNA, 492 nt
Filed under: uncultured bacterium
Lineage: Bacteria
Description: partial 16S ribosomal RNA
Rfam family: Bacterial small subunit ribosomal RNA
Source: RNAcentral